UACGUAGGCAGCGAGCGUUGUUCGGAUUUACUGGGCGUAAAGAGCGUGCAGGCGGCCUGGAAGGUCAGCUGUGAAAACUCGAGGCUCAACCUCGAGACGUCGGUUGAAACCACUUGGCUAGAGUCCGGAAGAGGAGUGUGGAAUUCCCGGUGUAGCGGUGAAAUGCGCAGAUAUCGGGAAGAACACCCGUGGCGAAGGCGGCACUCUGGGACGGUACUGACGCUGAGACGCGAAAGCGUGGGGAGCGAACAGG
RNAcentral lists this ribosomal RNA (253 nucleotides) under uncultured bacterium. Its description in RNAcentral is "partial 16S ribosomal RNA". It matches the Rfam family "Bacterial small subunit ribosomal RNA", at positions 524 to 776 of the family's 1533-position model. The record is from RNAcentral.